AACUUAUGGUUUGGGAAUUGCAUUAACUUAUCAUUGAAAUAUUGUCAAACUUCAUACAUGGUUCACCAUUAAGUUGGUAAAAGUUGGUGAUUUUUUCCUUUAGUU
Small nucleolar RNA from Capsicum annuum, 105 nucleotides. Lineage: Eukaryota; Viridiplantae; Streptophyta; Magnoliopsida; Solanales; Solanaceae. The record is from RefSeq and is a predicted model, not a curated record.